Long non-coding RNA from Pseudomyrmex gracilis, 1409 nucleotides. RefSeq lists it as uncharacterized. Lineage: Eukaryota; Metazoa; Arthropoda; Insecta; Hymenoptera; Formicidae. The transcript is spliced from 3 exons. The record is from RefSeq and is a predicted model, not a curated record.
AUUACAAUUUUAGUGCAAGAUUUCGUCACAUAAUUUUGUAAAUGGUUUCCUAUCAGGGAUUGAGCUCCUCAUUUUCGUGUUUCUGUAUUCUUUGCUUAUUGGCUAUAACUUACGACUAAUGUAGAUGCUCAAAUCGCACGAUUCUUACGUCUUGCGACAAUGCGAUCGUGCGAUUCGUCUCUUGCAAUCAAUGUAGGUCUUUAAAUCGCUAAAAUCGCUGUUUUUUAGCGCUUUUCAGGCGCUAGUGUGCUACGUGAGCUUAAUCGAGAUUUAAGUUAUGCAUGAGUGUAAAUUUGUCCAUAGCGUAUUCGGAGAAAAAUUCUUUAUGUGAAAUCCAUCUACGCGCUUCUAUUUUCUGAAUGGCAACAUGAUAAAGCACCUUUCUAGAAAAAUGUUUUAGAAUCUCGGAAACCAUUCCAUGAUUCCAGCAUAGGGCCGGAUCUAAAAUCAUAUCAGCGUCUAGCAAUUUUUACGAGUCUUGAGAAAGAGGCUAAUAACAUAAUGUUGUCUGUUACCUUACGAAUUCAAGCCUUCUUUGAAUCCAUAAUUGGACGUUCUCGUUCUUUUGACCACCGUACUCUGGAAUUUGGAAGACAAGCAUCGAAACGGCAUGUGAAGAAGUAAUAGAUGCCAAGAUAGUAGGACGCGAUGAACCUUGGCUCCUUGGUGUCAGCACAUCCUGUGCUUGUUGCUCUGCAACACUGCCGUCAGAUGAGGCUGAUUCGUCGCUGGAGAGAGAAAGAUAGACUAGUCAGUUGACGUUGCCUUACAAAAAACGAGUCGUUCAAGGCACCGGGCCUGGCUUCCUGAGCGAGAUCGCCUGGAACAUAACGACAUCAGCGUCUAUCAAAACCUUCCGAUUGUCGGAGAUCUAAAGUCUUUAUCUCUUGGCCUCUCGUUUCAGCUGCUCCAAGGUCAUCUGGUUUAAUACAUCACGAUCCAUGUUUGUUAUGAACGCCAGAUUCCACGUGACUCCAGGAAAAUGCAAUAAAAGGCAUACUCAAAACGAAGUUAGAGAUUAAACAAAGCACAAAAUGGAACCGGAGCGAGAAUUGGAAUAGGAGCUAAAAACAGAGCAUGAACUGAAAACCGAAUUACGAUCGAAACACAAAAUCGAAAAAGGAAGCGGAGUUAGAAUCACACUUCUGACAAAGGGAGACUACGACGUUGUAUCAAUCGAUUUGGACGAAAUGUAUAGGAUCGAUAGAUGACUAUGUGGAGUAUUGCAGGGUAAAGUAAUAAGACGCACUACUCAAGCAUUCGCGAGAAAAUCGAAUUUGAACAUUUUGAGAUAUUUUAUGAGGAUAUGAAAUAGAUCGUUUAGUCGAAGAGCGUGUAGCGUAGCGGUAGCGUACUAGGUUAGUAGUGUCGACGUAGGUGGUUCAAGUCUCGAUAUACUUUUUUUUCUU